UACGUAGGGAGCAAGCGUUGUCCGGAUUUACUGGGUGUAAAGGGUGCGUAGGCGGCUUUGCAAGUCAGAAGUGAAAUCCAUGGGCUUAACCCAUGAACUGCUUUUGAAACUGCAGAGCUUGAGUGGAGUAGAGGUAGGCGGAAUUCCCGGUGUAGCGGUGAAAUGCGUAGAGAUCGGGAGGAACACCAGUGGCGAAGGCGGCUUGCUGGACGAUGACUGACGUUGAGGCUCGAAAGCGUGGGGAGCAAACAGG
This 253-nucleotide ribosomal RNA is filed under the name uncultured bacterium. RNAcentral's name for it is "partial 16S ribosomal RNA". It matches the Rfam family "Bacterial small subunit ribosomal RNA", at positions 524 to 776 of the family's 1533-position model. The record is from RNAcentral.